Molecule: ribosomal RNA, 1550 nt
Filed under: Staphylococcus aureus subsp. aureus MW2
Lineage: Bacteria; Bacillati; Bacillota; Bacilli; Caryophanales; Staphylococcaceae
Description: 16S ribosomal RNA
Rfam family: Bacterial small subunit ribosomal RNA
Source: RNAcentral
UGGAGAGUUUGAUCCUGGCUCAGGAUGAACGCUGGCGGCGUGCCUAAUACAUGCAAGUCGAGCGAACGGACGAGAAGCUUGCUUCUCUGAUGUUAGCGGCGGACGGGUGAGUAACACGUGGAUAACCUACCUAUAAGACUGGGAUAACUUCGGGAAACCGGAGCUAAUACCGGAUAAUAUUUUGAACCGCAUGGUUCAAAAGUGAAAGACGGUCUUACUGUCACUUAUAGAUGGAUCCGCGCUGCAUUAGCUAGUUGGUAAGGUAACGGCUUACCAAGGCAACGAUGCAUAGCCGACCUGAGAGGGUGAUCGGCCACACUGGAACUGAGACACGGUCCAGACUCCUACGGGAGGCAGCAGUAGGGAAUCUUCCGCAAUGGGCGAAAGCCUGACGGAGCAACGCCGCGUGAGUGAUGAAGGUCUUCGGAUCGUAAAACUCUGUUAUUAGGGAAGAACAUAUGUGUAAGUAACUGUGCACAUCUUGACGGUACCUAAUCAGAAAGCCACGGCUAACUACGUGCCAGCAGCCGCGGUAAUACGUAGGUGGCAAGCGUUAUCCGGAAUUAUUGGGCGUAAAGCGCGCGUAGGCGGUUUUUUAAGUCUGAUGUGAAAGCCCACGGCUCAACCGUGGAGGGUCAUUGGAAACUGGAAAACUUGAGUGCAGAAGAGGAAAGUGGAAUUCCAUGUGUAGCGGUGAAAUGCGCAGAGAUAUGGAGGAACACCAGUGGCGAAGGCGACUUUCUGGUCUGUAACUGACGCUGAUGUGCGAAAGCGUGGGGAUCAAACAGGAUUAGAUACCCUGGUAGUCCACGCCGUAAACGAUGAGUGCUAAGUGUUAGGGGGUUUCCGCCCCUUAGUGCUGCAGCUAACGCAUUAAGCACUCCGCCUGGGGAGUACGACCGCAAGGUUGAAACUCAAAGGAAUUGACGGGGACCCGCACAAGCGGUGGAGCAUGUGGUUUAAUUCGAAGCAACGCGAAGAACCUUACCAAAUCUUGACAUCCUUUGACAACUCUAGAGAUAGAGCUUUCCCCUUCGGGGGACAAAGUGACAGGUGGUGCAUGGUUGUCGUCAGCUCGUGUCGUGAGAUGUUGGGUUAAGUCCCGCAACGAGCGCAACCCUUAAGCUUAGUUGCCAUCAUUAAGUUGGGCACUCUAAGUUGACUGCCGGUGACAAACCGGAGGAAGGUGGGGAUGACGUCAAAUCAUCAUGCCCCUUAUGAUUUGGGCUACACACGUGCUACAAUGGACAAUACAAAGGGCAGCGAAACCGCGAGGUCAAGCAAAUCCCAUAAAGUUGUUCUCAGUUCGGAUUGUAGUCUGCAACUCGACUACAUGAAGCUGGAAUCGCUAGUAAUCGUAGAUCAGCAUGCUACGGUGAAUACGUUCCCGGGUCUUGUACACACCGCCCGUCACACCACGAGAGUUUGUAACACCCGAAGCCGGUGGAGUAACCUUUUAGGAGCUAGCCGUCGAAGGUGGGACAAAUGAUUGGGGUGAAGUCGUAACAAGGUAGCCGUAUCGGAAGGUGCGGCUGGAUCACCUCCUUUCU